GAUCCUAUUUGCUGUGAUACUAUGCUGUUUAUUGCUGUUGGUGAUCACUUCUCUCUUUUCAUUGUAUUCCUACUUCCAGCUACACACCUUGAACUAGUCAAUGUAGCUCUCUCCUUUUAAAAUGGAAUGAAACUAAGAUGGUGUUGCUGUGGAUUUACCAUUCCAAAUAGCCUAUUAUGUUUCAACUGUCUUCUAUUGGUUUAGCUGAUCUAUUAUUUGUAUAAACCUAGACAUUAGU
This 238-nucleotide long non-coding RNA is filed under the name Nicotiana benthamiana. Its description in RNAcentral is "long non-coding RNA (NBEN_LNC001191)". The record is from RNAcentral. Lineage: Eukaryota; Viridiplantae; Streptophyta; Magnoliopsida; Solanales; Solanaceae.